Molecule: long non-coding RNA, 615 nt
Filed under: Capra hircus (goat)
Lineage: Eukaryota; Metazoa; Chordata; Mammalia; Artiodactyla; Bovidae
Description: lncRNA (ENSCHIG00000008118.1)
Source: RNAcentral
UCAAGCACAAAUUUGAAAGAGGGAAAAUAGAGUGUGGAGAAAUAUUUUGAGCAAAAUUAUAAAUAGCUGCUCAACUCACUUUUUCAGGAUGAGUAGCAAUUGACUACAGGUGAGAAGAAUUAUGGUCCUGUGUCUGGAAAAGAUGCAUUGAGAUGGUGUUUCUUGGCUCAAAGAUACAGUGAUGGCUCUGCCCAAGGAGAAGUGAAAGAGCUUCUGGAAGGAGAUAGGAUGGGAGGUAAUGGAAGUGAGCCCCAGCAGGGACAUGAGGAUAUCCCUUCCAAAUUGGUGAAGGAAGCUUUCAGGGUGCUUGAAGAACCCAGCAUGCUCACACGCCAACAGCUAGGAUGUUUCAAGAGAGGUCCUGGCAAGCCACUACCAACCGGAAGAGUUCAGAAAAGGUUGCAAGGAGAUGCCACGUGUGCUUCCACCUCCCAGAAUCCUUCUCGCUGGCAUCUAUCUUGACUGAGCAAUGCAUGCACCACCAGUCAGAACAAUUGGCCAAAGACAACCCAGAAACUAAUCCCACCACCAUAAAGCCUGAGAUUCCGAACCAGGGGGAAGAGCAACUCUCCUGGGUUUCUUUACCCUGCUGCUCUCUGCCGGGGUGCCCCUUCC